UACGUAGGGGGCGAGCGUUAUCCGGAUUUACUGGGCGUAAAGCGCACGUAGGCGGUUCGUUAUGUCGGAUGUGAAAGCCCUUGGCUUAACCGAGGAAGUGCAUCCGAAACUGGCGAGCUAGAGUACUAAAGAGGAUCGCGGAAUUCCCGGUGUAGAGGUGAAAUUCGUAGAUAUCGGGAGGAACACCGGUGGCGAAGGCGGCGAUCUGGGUAGAUACUGACGCUGAGGUGCGAAAGCGUGGGGAGCAAACAGG
RNAcentral lists this ribosomal RNA (253 nucleotides) under uncultured bacterium. RNAcentral describes it as "partial 16S ribosomal RNA". It matches the Rfam family "Bacterial small subunit ribosomal RNA", at positions 524 to 776 of the family's 1533-position model. The record is from RNAcentral.